UUAAGUUAAUAAGGGCGCACGGUGGAUGCCUUGGCACUAGAAGCCGAUGAAGGACGUGACUAACGACGAAAUGCUUUGGGGAGCUGUAAGUGAGCAAUGAUCCAGAGAUGUCCGAAUGGGGGAACCCGGCAGGUAAUGCCUGUCACUCAUUACUGUUAAGGUAAUGUAGAGGAAGACGCAGUGAACUGAAACAUCUAAGUAGCUGUAGGAAGAGAAAGCAAAAGCGAUUGCCUUAGUAGCGGCGAGCGAAACGGCAAGAGGGCAAACCGAAGAGUUUACUCUUCGGGGUUGUAGGACUGCAACGUGGACUUAAAGAUUAUAGAAGAACUACCUGGGAAGGUAGGCCAAAGAGAGUAAUAGCCUCGUAUUCGAAAUAGUCUUUAUACCUAGCAGUAUCCUGAGUACGGCGAGACACGAGAAAUCUCGUCGGAAUCUGGGAGGACCAUCUCCCAACCCUAAAUACUCUCUAGUGACCGAUAGUGAACCAGUACCGUGAGGGAAAGGUGAAAAGCACCCCGGGAGGGGAGUGAAAUAGAACCUGAAACCGUGUGCCUACAACAAGUUCGAGCCCGUUAAUGGGUGAGAGCGUGCCUUUUGUAGAAUGAACCGGCGAGUUACGAUAUGAUGCGAGGUUAAGUUGAAGAGACGGAGCCGUAGGGAAACCGAGUCUUAAUAGGGCGCAUUAGUAUCAUGUCGUAGACCCGAAACCAUGUGACCUACCCAUGAGCAGGUUGAAGGUGAGGUAAAACUCACUGGAGGACCGAACCAGGGCACGUUGAAAAGUGCUUGGAUGACUUGUGGGUAGCGGAGAAAUUCCAAACGAACUUGGAGAUAGCUGGUUCUCUCCGAAAUAGCUUUAGGGCUAGCGUCGAUGUUAAGUCUCUUGGAGGUAGAGCACUGUUUGGGUGAGGGGUCCAUCCCGGAUUACCAAUCUCAGAUAAACUCCGAAUGCCAAUGAGAUAUAAUCGGCAGUCAGACUGCGAGUGCUAAGAUCCGUAGUCGAAAGGGAAACAGCCCAGACCACCAGCUAAGGUCCCAAAAUAUAUGUUAAGUGGAAAAGGAUGUGGGGUUGCACAGACAACUAGGAUGUUAGCUUAGAAGCAGCUAUUCAUUCAAAGAGUGCGUAAUAGCUCACUAGUCGAGUGACCCUGCGCCGAAAAUGUACCGGGGCUAAAACAUAUUACCGAAGCUGUGGAUACCUUUAUAGGUAUGGUAGGAGAGCGUUCUAUGUGCGAAGAAGGUGUACCGUGAGGAGUGCUGGAGCGCAUAGAAGUGAGAAUGCCGGUAUGAGUAGCGAAAGACAGGUGAGAAUCCUGUCCACCGUAAGACUAAGGUUUCCAGGGGAAGGCUCGUCCGCCCUGGGUUAGUCGGGACCUAAGGAGAGACCGAAAGGUGUAUCCGAUGGACAACAGGUUGAUAUUCCUGUACUAGAGUAUAUAGUGAUGGAGGGACGCAGUAGGCUAACUAAACCAGACGAUUGGAAGUGUCUGGCCAAGCAGUGAGGUGUGAUAUGAGUCAAAUGCUUAUAUCUUUAACAUUGAGCUGUGAUGGGGAGCGAAGUUUAGUAGCGAAGUUAGUGAUGUCACACUGCCGAGAAAAGCUUCUAGCGUUAAUUAUACUCUACCCGUACCGCAAACCGACACAGGUAGUCGAGGCGAGUAGCCUCAGGUGAGCGAGAGAACUCUCGUUAAGGAACUCGGCAAAAUGGCCCCGUAACUUCGGGAGAAGGGGCGCUGACUGAUGGUCAGCCGCAGUGAAUAGGCCCAAGCAACUGUUUAUCAAAAACACAGCUCUCUGCUAAAUCGUAAGAUGAUGUAUAGGGGGUGACGCCUGCCCGGUGCUGGAAGGUUAAGAGGAGUGCUUAGCGUAAGCGAAGGCAUGAAUUGAAGCCCCAGUAAACGGCGGCCGUAACUAUAACGGUCCUAAGGUAGCGAAAUUCCUUGUCGGGUAAGUUCCGACCCGCACGAAAGGCGUAAUGAUUUGGGCACUGUCUCAACGAGAGACUCGGUGAAAUUUUAGUACCUGUGAAGAUGCAGGUUACCCGCGACAGGACGGAAAGACCCCAUGGAGCUUUACUGCAGUUUGAUAUUGAGUAUCUGUACCACAUGUACAGGAUAGGUAGGAGCCUAUGACCUCGGGACGCCAGUUUCGAGUGAGGCGUUGUUGGGAUACUACCCUUGUGUUAUGGCUACUCUAACCCAGAUAGGUUAUCCCUAUCGGAGACAGUGUCUGACGGGCAGUUUGACUGGGGCGGUCGCCUCCUAAAAGGUAACGGAGGCGCCCAAAGGUUCCCUCAGAAUGGUUGGAAAUCAUUCGCAGAGUGUAAAGGUAUAAGGGAGCUUGACUGCGAGAGUUACAACUCGAGCAGGGACGAAAGUCGGGCUUAGUGAUCCGGUGGUUCCGCAUGGAAGGGCCAUCGCUCAACGGAUAAAAGCUACCCUGGGGAUAACAGGCUUAUCUCCCCCAAGAGUUCACAUCGACGGGGAGGUUUGGCACCUCGAUGUCGGCUCGUCGCAUCCUGGGGCUGUAGUCGGUCCCAAGGGUUGGGCUGUUCGCCCAUUAAAGCGGCACGCGAGCUGGGUUCAGAACGUCGUGAGACAGUUCGGUCCCUAUCCGUCGCGGGCGUAGGAAAUUUGAGAGGAUCUGCUCCUAGUACGAGAGGACCAGAGUGGACUUACCGCUGGUGUACCAGUUGUUCUGCCAAGAGCAUCGCUGGGUAGCUAUGUAGGGAAGGGAUAAACGCUGAAAGCAUCUAAGUGUGAAGCCCACCUCAAGAUGAGAUUUCCCAUGAUUUUAUAUCAGUAAGAGCCCUGAGAGAUGAUCAGGUUGAUAGGUUAGAAGUGGAAGUGUGGUGACACAUGUAGCGGACUAAUACUAAUAGCUCGAGGACUUAUCCAA
This 2898-nucleotide ribosomal RNA is filed under the name human gut metagenome. RNAcentral describes it as "bacterial LSU rRNA". It matches the Rfam family "Bacterial large subunit ribosomal RNA". The record is from RNAcentral.